This 254-nucleotide ribosomal RNA is filed under the name uncultured bacterium. Its description in RNAcentral is "partial 16S ribosomal RNA". It matches the Rfam family "Bacterial small subunit ribosomal RNA", at positions 524 to 776 of the family's 1533-position model. The record is from RNAcentral.
UACGGGGGGAGCAAGCGUUGUUCGGAUUUACUGGGCGUAAAGGGCGCGUAGGCGGCCUCUGCAAGUCAGUUGUGAAAUCUCCGAGCUUAACUCGGAAAGGUCAACUGAUACUGCGGGGCUAGAGUGCGGAAGGGGCAACUGGAAUUCUUGGUGUAGCGGUGAAAUGCGUAGAUAUCUGGAGGAACACCGGUGGCGAAGGCGGCAUUCUGGACCGACAUUGACGCUGAGGCGCGAAAGCCAGGGGAGCAAACGGG